CUCAACUCAACCCAUAAACCCUA
Molecule: non-coding RNA, 23 nt
Filed under: Arabidopsis thaliana (thale cress)
Lineage: Eukaryota; Viridiplantae; Streptophyta; Magnoliopsida; Brassicales; Brassicaceae
Source: RNAcentral